UACGGAGGGAGCUAGCGUUGUUCGGAAUUACUGGGCGUAAAGCGCACGUAGGCGGCUACUCAAGUCAGAGGUGAAAGCCCGGGGCUCAACCCCGGAACUGCCUUUGAAACUAGGUAGCUAGAAUCUUGGAGAGGUCAGUGGAAUUCCGAGUGUAGAGGUGAAAUUCGUAGAUAUUCGGAAGAACACCAGUGGCGAAGGCGACUGACUGGACAAGUAUCGACGCUGAGGUGCGAAAGCGUGGGGAGCAAACAGG
Molecule: ribosomal RNA, 253 nt
Filed under: uncultured bacterium
Lineage: Bacteria
Description: partial 16S ribosomal RNA
Rfam family: Bacterial small subunit ribosomal RNA
Source: RNAcentral